AGUGAACGCUGGCGGUAGGCCUAACACAUGCAAGUCGAACGGCAGCACAGUAAGAGCUUGCUCUUACGGGUGGCGAGUGGCGGACGGGUGAGGAAUACAUUGGAAUCUACUUUUUCGUGGGGGAUAACGUAGGGAAACUUACGCUAAUACCGCAUACGACCUACGGGUGAAAGCAGGGGAUCUUCGGACCUUGCGCGAUUGAAUGAGCCGAUGUUGGAUUAGCUAGUUGGCGGGGUAAAGGCCCACCAAGGCGACGAUCCGUAGCUGGUCUGAGAGGAUGAUCAGCCACACUGGAACUGAGACACGGUCCAGACUCCUACGGGAGGCAGCAGUGGGGAAUAUUGGACAAUGGGCGCAAGCCUGAUCCAGCCAUACCGCGUGGGUGAAGAAGGCCUUCGGGUUGUAAAGCCCUUUUGUUGGGAAAGAAAAGCAGCAGGUUAAUACCCCGCUGUUCUGACGGUACCCAAAGAAUAAGCACCGGCUAACUUCGUG
RNAcentral lists this ribosomal RNA (492 nucleotides) under uncultured bacterium. RNAcentral describes it as "partial 16S ribosomal RNA". It matches the Rfam family "Bacterial small subunit ribosomal RNA", at positions 29 to 507 of the family's 1533-position model. The record is from RNAcentral.